This 85-nucleotide non-coding RNA is filed under the name human gut metagenome. RNAcentral's name for it is "Glycine riboswitch". It matches the Rfam family "Glycine riboswitch aptamer", at positions 9 to 86 of the family's 94-position model. From Rfam's summary of the family: This family represents the bacterial glycine riboswitch. Glycine riboswitches usually consist of two metabolite-binding aptamers domains with similar structures in tandem. The aptamers cooperatively bind glycine to regulate the expression of downstream genes. The record is from RNAcentral.
CACUCUGGAGAAUCCCGGUUUUAGACCGGGUGCCGAAGGGGCAAACAGCACAGGCGCUGUAAUCUCUCAGGCAAAAGGACAGAGC